AUGUACAUGCCUACAACAUAGCAUUAUUGCAGUGGAUCCCAUUAGAACUCUACAGUUAAUUGUAAUUAGGCUAAAGUAGUACUGGGAUAGGUGAUCGCCUGGGAAGUCCUAGUGUUUUACAUG
Picea glauca (white spruce) is the source of this 123-nucleotide non-coding RNA. Lineage: Eukaryota; Viridiplantae; Streptophyta; Pinopsida; Pinales; Pinaceae. The record is from Rfam.